Molecule: ribosomal RNA, 534 nt
Filed under: uncultured bacterium
Lineage: Bacteria
Description: bacterial SSU rRNA
Rfam family: Bacterial small subunit ribosomal RNA
Source: RNAcentral
AUGCAAGUCGUACGAGAGUUUUUAACUCAAGUGGCGGACGGGUGAGUAACACGUAAGAAUUUGCCUUUAGGAGGGGGACAACAACUGGAAACGGUUGCUAAUACCCCAUAUGCUUUCGAGUGAAAUGGAUUUAUCCGCCUAGAGAGAAGCUUGCGGCUGAUUAGCUUGUUGGUGGGGUAAUGGCCUACCAAGGCGACGAUCAGUAUCUGGUUUGAGAGGACGAUCAGACACACUGGAACUGAGACACGGUCCAGACUCCUACGGGAGGCAGCAGUGGGGAAUUUUCCGCAAUGGGCGAAAGCCUGACGGAGCAAUACCGCGUGAGGGAUGACGGCCUAUGGGUUGUAAACCUCUUUUUUCAGGGAGGAAUCAAAUGACGUGUACCUGAAGAAUAAGCAUCGGCUAACUCCGUGCCAGCAGCCGCGGUAAGACGGAGGAUGCAAGUGUUAUCCGGAAUCACUGGGCGUAAAGCGUCUGUAGGUGGUCAAAUAAGUCAACUGUUAAAUCUUGGGGCUCAACCUCAAAACCGCAGUC